GUGGCUUAAUUUGACUCAACGCGGGAAAUCUUACCGGGUCCGGACACACUGAGGAUUGACAGGCAAUAUCUAAAUCGUUUAUAAUAAUUCCUAUUAUAAUACGCUUUUAGUGUUAAAUAUGCUAGUCCUUUCAUGAUUAUGUGAUAGGUGGUGCAUGGCCGUUCUUAGUUCGUGGAGUGAUCUGUCUGCUUAAUUGCGUUUCACUAAGGGCCCAUAAAUUCAAGGUAUGUUAGCUAUCGUUUCUCAAUUGACCCCUUGUCUUCGAUAAGCGCGUGUCUUUUAGAGUUUAAACAUUGCGCAUGCUGUUGGGUCCUGAAAGCAACGAACGUGACCGCAACGUCUUAUUGCCUUUAUCUUGCUAUAUUUUAAUUUAAUUAAAAAUAGCUAACAGAGGCUAAUUUAAAAUUAGACGGACCGCUGUACUUUUCUUAAACCAGAGGAAGGUUGCGGCAAUAACAGGUCUG
RNAcentral lists this ribosomal RNA (464 nucleotides) under Neogloboquadrina dutertrei. RNAcentral's name for it is "SSU rRNA". It matches the Rfam family "Eukaryotic small subunit ribosomal RNA", at positions 1185 to 1464 of the family's 1831-position model. Lineage: Eukaryota; Foraminifera; Rotaliida; Globorotaliidae. The record is from RNAcentral.